AGUUGUAAUUACAUGAAGUAGUGGACUUUUGUGUUUUUACAAAGUGACCCCAAAAGUUUAUGUUUUUGCAAUAUGGCCCAAAAGUUGUGGUAAUUGCAUUUUGGCCCAAAUUAGGUUGAGAACAAAAUUGUUUUGUCACUUUAAAUGAGAAUUGGAUUUUCAUUUUAUUUAGCUCCAUUUAAAUCAAUUUUAUGGAUACAAAAACCAAAUGAAAAUGUUGCAUUCAAUUUAAUUAGUUAAAGUGUUAAUUAAUUAAAGGGUGAUUAUGAACCUAAGCCUAUGAUAAUUGAGCUAUGUGAUAGGCCGUUUCAAAUUUGUUUGAACCAUGGGAAUGUGUAGAUUAGAUUUUGGUUGUAAUUUGAUUUGAUCAAAUGUUGUAAAAGAGCAUAAGCUCUUCUUUACUUUAAAGUAAUUUGAAUUAUUCAAAUGUUGUAAUGAGCAUAAGCUCACCUUUACUUUGAAGUACUUCUUUCUUGCUUUAUUUGAUAUGCAUGAAAAUGAAGUAGUUGGGUCAACGCCCCUAAGACAACACGCCUUAAUGUGAUUAAACGCGUAACUAAAAUCAAUCACCAUCCCUUAGACCGAGAUUCAACACAAGGCUCGUGUUGAAUCUAAUCAAAGGUUCAUAGUCAUCCUAAGGCCCUAAGGCAACUAUAUAGUCCAUCAAAUGAAUGCAAAAGGUUAUGUUAGUAGUAUCAUAUACUCUUGCUUUAAAAACCGUUUUAGAAGCAUAGUGGGAGUAUUAUAUACAACUAAAACAAUCAAAUGGACCAAUAGUUGUAAUAGGACCAAAAUGUUUAAUAAAGAUUAAAAUGAAUAUUUAUAUGUGAUGAGACCUAAAACCC
This 845-nucleotide long non-coding RNA is filed under the name Malus domestica (apple). RNAcentral describes it as "long non-coding RNA (MDOM_LNC002003)". Lineage: Eukaryota; Viridiplantae; Streptophyta; Magnoliopsida; Rosales; Rosaceae. The record is from RNAcentral.